GUUGAGUUAAGGCGAGACAAUUGAAUUGGGGAUUGUGGAGGUGAAGAGUUGAGUGCUAUGGGGGUGGUGAGUAAAGCAGGAGAUUGGGCAUUUAAAGCCUUCUCGGCGGGGCUGGGUGUUGCCACCGUUUUCUUCGCCGCUUCUUUCUCCGCCAAUGUCUACCGUGGUCUCUCUUGGCAUAAUCGACAAUCGAGGGUUGAGAAGGAAGGACCUAAAGUUCUGCAACAGCAAGAAUGACGGUUUGAGAAGUUCUACACUUCCACAUCGCGUUGCUAGCUGAGGUCAUGCUAUAGGUUCUGAAUCUUUUUAAAGUGAUGCAAUAACUUUAACACGAGUAUGGUUUACAUCCCGUCUUAACUGUUCCCGGCCAUAUAAUUGUGGAGAUGUAAUUCUGAGAUACCUUUUGGAUGAUGUUUGAAAUUCAUAUGCGUGAAUUGAAAUUAUAGAAUACACAUAGUAUUACUUUUCCUGGAAACUAAA
This 480-nucleotide unclassified non-coding RNA is filed under the name Hevea brasiliensis (rubber tree). Lineage: Eukaryota; Viridiplantae; Streptophyta; Magnoliopsida; Malpighiales; Euphorbiaceae. The record is from RNAcentral.